Molecule: ribosomal RNA, 253 nt
Filed under: uncultured bacterium
Lineage: Bacteria
Description: partial 16S ribosomal RNA
Rfam family: Bacterial small subunit ribosomal RNA
Source: RNAcentral
UACGUAGGGGGCAAGCGUUGUCCGGAUUUAUUGGGCGUAAAGAGCGUGUAGGCGGCUUUACAGGUCCGUUGUGAAAACUCGAGGCUCAACCUCGAGACGCCGGUGGAAACCGUAAAGCUAGAGUCCGGAAGAGGAGAGUGGAAUUCCUGGUGUAGCGGUGGGAUGCGCAGAUAUCAGGAGGAACACCAAUAGCGAAGGCAGCUCGCUGGGACGGUAUUGACGCUGAGGCGCGAAAGCGUGGGGAGCAAACAGG